Molecule: ribosomal RNA, 430 nt
Filed under: uncultured bacterium
Lineage: Bacteria
Description: partial 16S ribosomal RNA
Rfam family: Bacterial small subunit ribosomal RNA
Source: RNAcentral
GUGGGGAAUAUUGCACAAUGGGCGAAAGCCUGAUGCAGCAACGCCGCGUGAGGGACGACGGCCUUCGGGUUGUAAACCUCUUUUAGUAGGGAAGAAGCGAAAGUGACGGUACCUGCAGAAAAAGCACCGGCUAACUACGUGCCAGCAGCCGCGGUAAUACGUAGGGUGCAAGCGUUAUCCGGAAUUAUUGGGCGUAAAGAGCUCGUAGGCGGUCUGUCGCGUCUGCUGUGAAAACUGGAGGCUCAACCUCGAGCCUGCAGUGGGUGCGGGCAGACUAGAGUGCGGUAGGGGAGAUUGGAAUUCCUGGUGUAGCGGUGGAAUGCGCAGAUAUCAGGAGGAACACCGAUGGCGAAGGCAGAUCUCUGGGCCGUAACUGACGCUGAGGAGCGAAAGCGUGGGGAGCGAACAGGAUUAGAAACCCCAGUAGUCC